Molecule: ribosomal RNA, 253 nt
Filed under: uncultured bacterium
Lineage: Bacteria
Description: partial 16S ribosomal RNA
Rfam family: Bacterial small subunit ribosomal RNA
Source: RNAcentral
UACAGAGGGGGCGAGCGUUGUUCGGAAUUACUGGGCGUAAAGGGCGCGUAGGCGGCCUUCUAAGUCGAACGUGAAAUCCCCGGGCUCAACCCGGGAACUGCGUCCGAUACUGGGAGGCUUGAAUCCGGGAGAGGGAUGUGGAAUUCCAGGUGUAGCGGUGAAAUGCGUAGAUAUCUGGAGGAACACCGGUGGCGUAGGCGACUAGCUGGGCUGUAACUGACGCUGAGGAACGAAAGCCAGGGGAGCGAAUGGG